CAAGUUUUUAAGGGCGCACGGUGGAUGCCUUGGCACCAGGAACCGAUGAAGGACGUGGGAGGCCACGAUAGUCCCCGGGGAGUCGUCAACCAGGCUUUGAUCCGGGGGUUUCCGAAUGGGGAAACCCGGCAGUCGUCAUGGGCUGUCACCCUUGCCUGAACACAUAGGGCAAGUGGAGGGAACGCGGGGAAGUGAAACAUCUCAGUACCCGCAGGAAGAGAAAACAACCGUGAUUCCGGGAGUAGUGGCGAGCGAAACCGGAUGAGGCCAAACCGUAUGCGUGUGAGACCCGGCAGGGGUUGCGCAUACGGGGUUGUGGGAUCUCUCUUUCAUGGUCUGCCGGCCAUGAGACGAGUCAGAAACCGUUGAUGUAGGCGAAGGACAUGCGAAAGGUCCGGCGUAGAGGGUAAGACCCCCGUAGUCGAAACAUCAGCGGCUCGUUUGAGAGACACCCAAGUAGCACGGGGCCCGAGAAAUCCCGUGUGAAUCUGGCGGGACCACCCGCUAAGCCUAAAUAUUCCCUGGUGACCGAUAGCGGAUAGUACCGUGAGGGAAUGGUGAAAAGUACCCCGGGAGGGGAGUGAAAUAGUACCUGAAACCGUGUGCCUACAAGCCGUGGGAGCGUCGCGCAGGGACUUGUUCCUUGCGUCGUGACUGCGUGCCUUUUGAAGAAUGAGCCUGCGAGUUUGCGGUGUGUUGCGAGGUUAACCCGAGUGGGGAAGCCGUAGCGAAAGCGAGUCCGAACAGGGCGAUUCAGUAGCGCGCUCAAGACCCGAAGCGGAGUGAUCUAGCCAUGGGCAGGUUGAAGCGGAGGUAAGACUUCGUGGAGGACCGAACCCACCAGGGUUGAAAACCUGGGGGAUGACCUGUGGUUAGGGGUGAAAGGCCAAUCAAACUCCGUGAUAGCUGGUUCUCCCCGAAAUGCAUUUAGGUGCAGCGUCGUGUGUUUCUUGCCGGAGGUAGAGCACUGGAUAGGCGAUGGGCCCUACCGGGUUACUGACCUUAGCCAAACUCCGAAUGCCGGUAAGUGAGAGCGCGGCAGUGAGACUGUGGGGGAUAAGCUCCAUGGUCGAGAGGGAAACAGCCCAGAGCAUCGACUAAGGCCCCUAAGCGUACGCUAAGUGGGAAAGGAUGUGGAGUCGCACAGACAACCAGGAGGUUGGCUUAGAAGCAGCCACCCUUGAAAGAGUGCGUAAUAGCUCACUGGUCUAGUGAUUCCGCGCCGACAAUGUAGCGGGGCUCAAGCGUACCGCCGAAGUCGUGUCAUUGCAGCAGAUAGCCCCAACGGGUGCUGUGAUGGGUAGGGGAGCGUCGUGUGCCGGGUGAAGCAGCCGCGGAAGCGAGUUGUGGACGGUUCACGAGUGAGAAUGCAGGCAUGAGUAGCGAUUCACACGUGAGAAACGUGUGCGCCGAUUGACUAAGGGUUCCUGGGUCAAGCUGAUCUGCCCAGGGUAAGUCGGGACCUAAGGCGAGGCCGACAGGCGUAGUCGAUGGAUAACCGGUUGAUAUUCCGGUACCCGCUGUGAAGCGUCAAACAUCGAGCAUCGUGAUGCUAAGGCCGUGAAGCCGCCCCUGAUCUCUUCGGAGUGAGGGGGAGUGGUGGAGCCGCCGGCCCAAGCGGUUAGUAGGUGAGUGAUGGGGUGACGCAGGAAGGUAGUCCAUCCCGGGCGGUGGUUGUCCCGGGGUAAGGGUGUAGGACGUCAGGUAGGUAAAUCCGCCUGGCACAUAGUCUGAGACCUGAUGCCGAGCCGAUUGUGGUGAAGUGGAUGAUCCUAUGCUGUCGAGAAAAGCCUCUAGCGAGUUUCAUGGCGGCCCGUACCCUAAACCGACUCAGGUGGUCAGGUAGAGAAUACCGAGGCGUUCGGGUGAACUAUGGUUAAGGAACUCGGCAAAAUGCCCCCGUAACUUCGGGAGAAGGGGGGCCACGUCUGGUGAGAGCACUUGCUGCUCGAGCUGGGGGUGGCCGCAGAGACCAGCGAGAAGCGACUGUUUACUAAAAACACAGGUCCGUGCGAAGCCGUAAGGCGAUGUAUACGGACUGACGCCUGCCCGGUGCUGGAACGUUAAGGGGACCGGUUAGCUUGGAUUCGUCCAGGCGAAGCUGAGAACUUAAGCGCCAGUAAACGGCGGUGGUAACUAUAACCAUCCUAAGGUAGCGAAAUUCCUUGUCGGGUAAGUUCCGACCUGCACGAAUGGCGUAACGACUUCUCGACUGUCUCAACCAUAGGCCCGGUGAAAUUGCACUACGAGUAAAGAUGCUCGUUUCGCGCAGCAGGACGGAAAGACCCCGGGACCUUUACUACAGUUUGAUAUUGGUGUUCGGUUCGGCUUGUGUAGGAUAGCUGGGAGACUGUGAACUCUGGACGCCAGUUCAGGGGGAGUCGUCGUUGAAAUACCAGUCUGGUCGUGCUGGAUGUCUAACCUGGGUCCGUGAUCCGGAUCAGGGACAGUGUCUGAUGGGUAGUUUAACUGGGGCGGUUGCCUCCUAAAGAGUAACGGAGGCGCCCAAAGGUUCCCUCAGCCUGGUUGGCAAUCAGGUGUUGAGUGUAAGUGCACAAGGGAGCUUGACUGUGAGACCGACGGGUCGAGCAGGGACGAAAGUCGGGACUAGUGAUCCGGCGGUGGCUUGUGGAAGCGCCGUCGCUCAACGGAUAAAAGGUACCCCGGGGAUAACAGGCUGAUCUUCCCCAAGAGUCCAUAUCGACGGGAUGGUUUGGCACCUCGAUGUCGGCUCGUCGCAUCCUGGGGCUGGAGUCGGUCCCAAGGGUUGGGCUGUUCGCCCAUUAAAGCGGUACGCGAGCUGGGUUUAGAACGUCGUGAGACAGUUCGGUCCCUAUCCGCUGUGCGCGUAGGAGUCUUGAGAAGGGCUGUCCCUAGUACGAGAGGACCGGGACGGACGAACCUCUGGUGUGCCAGUUGUUCUGCCAAGGGCAUGGCUGGUUGGCUACGUUCGGGAGGGAUAACCGCUGAAAGCAUCUAAGCGGGAAGCCUGCUUCGAGAUGAGGACUCCCACCUCCUAGAGAGGGUAAGGCUCCCAGUAGACGACUGGGUUGAUAGGCCGGAUAUGGAAGCACGGUAACGUGUGGAGUUGACCGGUACUAAUAGGCCGAGGGCUUGUCC
Molecule: ribosomal RNA, 3120 nt
Filed under: Streptomyces pilosus
Lineage: Bacteria; Bacillati; Actinomycetota; Actinomycetes; Kitasatosporales; Streptomycetaceae
Description: 23S ribosomal RNA
Rfam family: Bacterial large subunit ribosomal RNA
Source: RNAcentral